UUGGAGGGCAAGUCUGGUGCCAGCAGCCGCGGUAAUUCCAGCUCCAAUAGCGUAUAUUAAAGUUGUUGCAGUUAAAAAGCUCGUAGUUGAAUUUCGGGGUCAGUAGGUCGGUCGUGCCACUGGUAUGAACUGGUUUUACUGAUUCCUCCCUCUUGAAGAACUGUAAUGCCAUUAAUUUGGUGUUGCAGGGAAUCAGGACUGUUACUUUGAAAAAAUUAGAGUGUUUAAAGCAGGCUUUAGCUUGAAUACAUUAGCAUGGAAUAAUGAAAUAGGACGUUUGAUCUUAUUUUGUUGGUUUCUAGGAUUGACGUAAUGAUUAAUAGGGAUAGUUGGGGGCAUUAGUAUUCAAUUGUCAGAGGUGAAAUUCUUGGAUUUAUUGAAGACUAACUACUGCGAAAGCAUUUGCCAAGGAUGUUUUCAUUAAUCAAGAACGAAAGUUAGGGGAUCGAAGACGAUCAGAUACCGUCGUAGUCUUAACCAUAAACUAUGCCGACUAGGGAUCGGAUGAUGUUAAUUUUCUAAUGACUCAUUCGGCGCCUUACGGGAAAC
RNAcentral lists this ribosomal RNA (549 nucleotides) under uncultured Glomeromycotina. RNAcentral describes it as "SSU rRNA". It matches the Rfam family "Eukaryotic small subunit ribosomal RNA", at positions 548 to 1098 of the family's 1831-position model. The record is from RNAcentral. Lineage: Eukaryota; Fungi; Glomeromycota.